Molecule: ribosomal RNA, 468 nt
Filed under: uncultured bacterium
Lineage: Bacteria
Description: partial 16S ribosomal RNA
Rfam family: Bacterial small subunit ribosomal RNA
Source: RNAcentral
GACGAACGCUGGCGGCGUGCUUAACACAUGCAAGUCGAACGGAAAGGCCCUGCUUUUGUGGGGUGCUCGAGUGGCGGACGGGUGAGUAACACGUGAGUAACCUGCCCUUGACUUUGGGAUAACUUCAGGAAACUGGGGCUAAUACCGGAUAGGAGCUCCUGCUGCAUGGUGGGGGUUGGAAAGUUUCGGCGGUUGGGGAUGGACUCGCGGCUUAUCAGCUUGUUGGUGGAGUAGUGGCUUACCAAGGCUUUGACGGGUAGCCGGCCUGAGAGGGUGACCGGCCACAUUGGGACUGAGAUACGGCCCAGACUCCUACGGGAGGCAGCAGUGGGGAAUAUUGCACAAUGGGCGGAAGCCUGAUGCAGCAACGCCGCGUGCGGGAUGACGGCCUUCGGGUUGUAAACCGCUUUCGCCUGUGACGAAGCGUGAGUGACGGUAAUGGGUAAAGAAGCACCGGCUAACUACGUG